RNAcentral lists this ribosomal RNA (126 nucleotides) under Setophoma sp. Its description in RNAcentral is "partial large subunit ribosomal RNA". It matches the Rfam family "Eukaryotic large subunit ribosomal RNA", at positions 99 to 224 of the family's 3401-position model. The record is from RNAcentral. Lineage: Eukaryota; Fungi; Ascomycota; Dothideomycetes; Pleosporales; Phaeosphaeriaceae.
CGGCAACAGCUCAAAUUUGAAAUCUGGCUCUUUCAGAGUCCGAGUUGUAAUUUGCAGAGGGUGCUUUGGUGGUAGUUGCGGUCUAAGUUCUUUGGAACAGGACGCCAUAGAGGGUGAGAGCCCCGU